GACGUAGGAAGCAAGCGUUGUCCGGAAUUACUGGGCGUAAAGAGCUCGUAGGCGGGACCGUAAGUCCGAGAGGAAAUCUCAAGGCUCAACUUUGGGGCUUUCUUGGAUACUGCGGUUCUUGAGGAUGAGAGAGGUAAGUAGAAUUCCCGGUGUAGCGGUGAAAUGCGUAGAUAUCGGGAGGAAUACCAGUGGCGAAGGCGGCUUACUGGCUCAUUCCUGACGCUGAGGAGCGAAAGCGUGGGGAGCAAACGGG
RNAcentral lists this ribosomal RNA (253 nucleotides) under uncultured bacterium. RNAcentral describes it as "partial 16S ribosomal RNA". It matches the Rfam family "Bacterial small subunit ribosomal RNA", at positions 524 to 776 of the family's 1533-position model. The record is from RNAcentral.